UUCUAGCUGACGAGUCCCAAACAGGACGAAGUGUACAUCCUAGAU
Molecule: non-coding RNA, 45 nt
Filed under: Trichobilharzia regenti
Lineage: Eukaryota; Metazoa; Platyhelminthes; Trematoda; Strigeidida; Schistosomatidae
Source: RNAcentral